AUGAUGAUGAUGAUGAUGAUGAUGCACCCGAUGCGACCCUGACUCAGUCCAAAAAGUUUUCGUUCUCGCUACCUCGGCUGAGCCGAACUCCAUUGCGCGCAAUGGGCAACGGAUGCCGGCAACCUACCUACUCAGCCGCAUCGUCUCACGAAUGACUACAAUAUUUAGUCAUUUAGAGUACGAUGAAAAACGCCGAAUUCAAGAUAGAACGACAGUAAAUACGAUUUUAAAAUGCCUUUUAUAAAGUUAACAGAUGUAGUAUGAAAGCAGAAGGAACAGGGAAGAAAAUUAGGGAAACACGAUCGAUCGAAUCGACCAUACGUAUAUUUGCUUAUUGUCGAUUACCGAAGGGUCAACUCACAGCCUAUAGCAUUGAGAAAAUCUUUUAUUUUUGUCAAUUAUUUUUGUAAAUAAUGAAAUAGGAAAAUGUGCACACAAAGCUUUGUGGAUUUGUUGGUAUGGAAAGGUUGCUUCGGUGACGAUGUACCGUAUAGCGAAUUAAUGCCAGGGCGUCAUUCCCUGUCGAUUUGUUUUCCUUUUCGAAAACCCGACUAGUAAAGGUCGAAUCAAGGAUCGAACGACAGAAUAUAUGAUUUUUAAUUCUUUUUAAAAAUGCAGCAGACGUUUUACAAAAGCAGAAUUAAUCAGCAAAAGGAUUAAACACAUCGGCAAACACGAAAUUGACAGAAUUCCUAUACGUGCUUGCAUCGUGUAACGAAGGGUCAACAACAAAGGCUAUAGCACUGGGAGAAGUGCUGAUAUUUUUAAUAAAGAGAAAAAAAAAUGUCUAAAGAGCUUUGUGGAGUUUUUUAAUAUGUGAAAGUCUGUGUUGUUUUUAUUUUGAUGAGGAGUAGAGGUGGGGGGACGUCAGUCAGUGUCAUUUGAUUUCCUUUUCCAAAGAGUUCCAAAACACGUCCAGAAUGCUUUCUAAAAAGUAUAGAGGCGGAUCACAAAAGCAGAAGGAAACGUGGGGAAAUUAUAUAUUGUAUGCACUAUAAUAUUAUAUUGUUAGCCUUAGUCUUUUAAGGUUCGAUUUUCUUCUGGUACAAAGUUAGGAAGUAUUUUUUCUGUAAGGGAGGAGUCAUUUCGAUGUUCUCUCCUUAAAACAAAAGAAAAAGAAACAAAACCAAAAACUGGUUAUUUAGAAAAGUAAAAUUAAGAAAUAAAAUCAUACAAAUAGAUAAAACAUGUAUAAUAUCACCAAGAAGAAUUAAUGUCAAAGCUAAUGAAAACGAGAACCCCACUAAUACGUGUCUCCCUGUUGGGAGCUCUUCCAUUAGUCUCGGUGCGUCCACGUGUGUGUACUCGAUUAUUAACUUCGUCAUAAGCAGUUGCUUUCUUACUUUACGCUUGCAGUGAAUCAACUAUGCCACGGCCAAGAAAGUGGUAUCCAGGUGGAUAUAUUUCCUAUAUGGAUAAACGCGGGCAUGUUCGUCAGCGUAGGGUACGAUUUUCAUCGCAGGCUGUUAGGGCUUGUACGGAGGAAAAUAGAACUCUUCAACAGGGGCAAAGUGGACGUUUAAGCACCCAUCAACGGGAGGAAUGUGCCACCUUCCAGGAUAUUCUUCUAGAUAGCAAUUCAUCAGAUGUAGCUGGAGUCAGCAAUCACAAGAAGAAAAAAGUGUCUGAGGCUGAGGGCUGGAAAGAUCUGCGAGCAGGUCUUGUUCGUGUCCACAUUGAAGGAUUCAGUCCUGCCACAAAAAAGUGCAGCUUCUGUGGCUGUACACAGGUCCAGAGAUUAUCUGGUGUCCUGACUGUGGACCUAGAAGCCUUUAUUGCAAGGCUUGUGAUGAGAAGAUCCAUUGUUUGGUGCUGUAUCAUCAGACAUACAGUUGGAAAGAAGAUGCAUCAUUGUUUGCACCUGUGUUAAGAGAAACAACCAUUUUGUCUGAGCACCAGUGUGACAAGCUCUACUACCGUCAGAUUACAGUUUUUGAUGCACAAGGCAGAGAUCACACAAUCAAAAUGCAGUUUUGUGAGUGUGAGCCGGAAGCUGUAACGUUAGUUAGAAUGGGUUAUGGCCAUCAACUCCGAAGAAGCCAGAGACAGCAUUCUGCAUGAAACUAAUGGAGCUAUGCAGAAUGCUACAACUAGAAGGGCAAAUGUCUCUGCAGAAAUUUUGUAAUGCAUUGCAGCGGAGGACAACAUUUCUGCACAGUCACAGCAGGGACUACAGAAACCUGUAUAAGGCAC
Molecule: long non-coding RNA, 2193 nt
Filed under: Pomacea canaliculata
Lineage: Eukaryota; Metazoa; Mollusca; Gastropoda; Architaenioglossa; Ampullariidae
Description: uncharacterized LOC112555971, transcript variant X1
Source: RNAcentral